GAUCAAUCCAUUUCUUCCAACCACUUUAAAAAAAUUGAAUGACUUAAUUUGAUUGUAUCUCAUUUUCUUAUUAUUUUGUCAUUCCAUAUAGAAUUCUUAAAUGAAAACUUUGCUUCAUAAUAUUAUGUUUUUGAGAACAGAAGAUGAGAGACAAGGAUAGAGGAAAAAGAGAGGGACAGUAGAUAAAACAAAUUGUUAUUUUUAUGUGGCUUGAAUU
RNAcentral lists this unclassified non-coding RNA (217 nucleotides) under Hevea brasiliensis (rubber tree). The record is from RNAcentral. Lineage: Eukaryota; Viridiplantae; Streptophyta; Magnoliopsida; Malpighiales; Euphorbiaceae.